RNAcentral lists this ribosomal RNA (199 nucleotides) under uncultured bacterium. RNAcentral describes it as "partial 16S ribosomal RNA". It matches the Rfam family "Bacterial small subunit ribosomal RNA", at positions 328 to 539 of the family's 1533-position model. The record is from RNAcentral.
ACGCUCGACACCUACGGGAGGCAGCAGUGGGGAAUAUUGCACAAUGGGGGAAACCCUGAUGCAGCGACGCCGCGUGGAGGAAGAAGGUCUUCGGAUUGUAAACUCCUGUUGUUAGGGGAAAAAGAGGAUGGUACCCAACAAGGAAGUGACGGCUAACUACGUGCCAGAAGCCGCGGUAAUCUGAGCGGGCUGGCAAGGC